Coturnix japonica (Japanese quail) is the source of this 3621-nucleotide non-coding RNA. The record is from RefSeq and is a predicted model, not a curated record. Lineage: Eukaryota; Metazoa; Chordata; Aves; Galliformes; Phasianidae.
CUUUUCCACUUGCUCACUGAUGCAUCUAACUGUAUUUUCGAGGUCUGCUAAAUAUACAGCCAGCCAUAAGCUUCAGCAAUCAAACCACAGAACCCAAACAAAAGAAAACUCAUUCCUCAUUUCCCUGUUUCACCCUCUACCAGACACAAACAACAUCUACAACACUUCCCCAAUUUAAACAUGCAUGAUUUUCCUGCCAGCCUCUGCAAAAUAAAACCAGCAUCCUCUCUGGCAAAUGCCAGACAAGCUGUGAUGCAGCCCUACAUAUUUUGCCCCAGAGGCAAGCCCUUGUUCCCUCGGUUAACUAAAGAGCUGUUGCUAAUAUCUUUUCUGACUGUGUUUUAGCACUGUGCUCUGGAUUCAGUGCCAACAGGAAGGCAGAGCUAAUCCUGAUGGGUCCUGCACAGUUCGCACCCACAGCCUCUUUUACCACUGCUGGAGAGCUCUUGUAUCACUUAUCAUCGCCUGACUUCAAAAGAAUUUCAAAAGAAUAAACUCACCUCAUCCUUUGAUUGCCAUAGGGAGAGUAAUAGAAGAGAGCAUCCUCCUGUUCAUCUGCAUACCAUCAGGAAGGCUCAUCUCCAUACCAUUAUAGGAAGGUGCUCAAGCUGAGCAGGUAAGUACUGGUGUGCUUAGUGGGAUCAGCUGGCCAGACUUACCUACAGCCCCACACCAUGGACUGGGAAAAGUGCCCAUUCACUAAUGAGUGCUCAGGCAUAGCAAUUAGAUUGUAAACACUUUGGAUUAGCACCAUCUGCACCGUGCUCAUACACUACCUGCUACAAGAGGCCCUCAGUCCAUGCUGCUGAUAAGCUUCACAACACAAACACCCGGAGCAAGGAGAUCAUGCUUUUUCUCAUCUCUGCGUGUCUUUUUGGAGAAAGUGGAGGAAAUGAUCAUUUUCAAAAGAACAUCAUGUUACAGCAGCUCUUAGUGUAGCUCAGUUCUGAACUCGGUAAAGCUUUCCAGCUGAGAAGCAGAGAAGAGGCAUAUGCAGAUUUUUGGACUGGAAGGGAGAAGAUGGACUUGAGACAAAUCUCCGGAAGACUUAAGUACAUUUCCAGGCAAAGACAAAUGAUUCAUCACACUUCUAAAAAUGGUUGUAGGCAUAAAUGCAAAAGCUGUAGCACAACACAAGUGAUCAGAUUAAGAGGGACCAGAAAGACAUCUGUUCUGCAGAUCAGGGAGAGCAAAGGAGUUCUGGUGCUGUAUCUUCAGGGGACAGGUUGACACCUUCCACACAAUCACCAAAUCAGAAUUUACAGCUCAAAACAUUCAGGACAGGGCAACCGGGAAAGUGGUCCUGAAAAGCACUGCGGCUCAAUCCAGAACCAGGGCAGCAGCUCAUUCACUUUGCUCCCGGGAGCCUUCUGGUCAUUGCACCUUGUAGCCUAGCAGCUCAGGAUAAGAAAUGCUACAGAGAUUUUAAAAAGUUCCUGGGAUAAAAUUCAUCUACUUGAUUUUGUAUUUGUAAGAUGUCUGGUGUUUUGCAUUUGCCAGGGAAAAAUGCCAGAUUUUGGUGCCAAAAUUUAUUUGAGCAUUCAAUCUACUACUAAUGAAACAUCAGGUUUGAGGCAGAACAGUAAUACAAGACUCUGAACAUGGUGUUGUGAUGUAUCCAGGGAUAUACAUUAUAAGAUGAACUAGGUUACACAGAUGUGAUGCAAAUGCCACCAAGCAUUGCACUGCUCUAUAGAGAAACUGAGUAAGAAUUUAAUAAAUCCAGCUUUGCUUUAGUAAUCCAGCAUAAAUUAAUAAAAAUAUGCACUGAUUGUAGGUGUUACAUCUAACCAUGCUGUAGGAUCAGUUAUAUGUAGAGGUACUGACUGCUCUAGAGACCCAGAUGGAGUCCAGAAGAGCGCUCAAAGAUGAUGGGCAAAACCCACAUGCAUUGAGACAUGAAUGUAGGCUCUGGGCAACAACACAGCAAGUUUUGUAAACAGGUUCACCUGAACAGGAAUGGAACAGUGCAUCUUCCAGGGGGAGGAAACUUGUUAGGCUGUGUCCUAUUCCCCCCCAGAGCACAGUUAAUUCUGCACUGCACAGCUUGUUGGACCUGGCUGGUGUCUCCAAGGACACUGCUCCUGAAGCCCACAGCAGAGGCCUGUGUAAUUCUUAUCAAAAGUUGCCAAAUAUUUUCAAGAAUAUUGAUCUCAUCUCUCAGUAACAGGAAAGGAGAUACCAAAAUUAAAAUUAAAGCACUAGGAGCUCACUCUAGCUUCUAAUGUUGGUUGCUAGUGUGCUCCAGGAGAGCUAGCAGACACAUAUAACUGUGAGAACAAUUUGUGGAGCAUCUGGCUUCAAAUUAGGAGGAAAUAUUAGGGGCCUGAGGAACCCCAUUAUUUUUAUGACAUCAAAUGGUUCAUUAGUUUUAAGUAGAAACAGGUGGUUAAUGAGAAGCUGUCAUUAAACUGGGCCGUGUUUGCUUGUUGCAGGAUGCAUGAAGGACACCUGACCCAGAGAUCAUGUCCUAGGUUCCCUCUUUGCACACAUCCACCAACCCUUCCACUCAGUCUGAAAUAGCAAUGACAGAAUUGAGAGGGGCUAUUUCCUCUCUAUGUGUGUAAUAAAAGUACAUUUUGUGUGAGUAAAAUGUGAAAAUCUGCUGUCUGAUAGACUCACCCCGGCCAGAAACCACAAUGAGUCCCCUCCAUAUGUUGUGGCACAAGCAGACUGCAUACAGCUCUCAGCUUGCUGUGAGCGCCUUGCUGGAGCCUGCGACAGUAAAGCUGCGCCGUAUCCAGCUAAGAUUUCUUUCCAGGACUGAUCCAUAUUUUGGAACAUGGAGUCUCCCAGGCAGCUGGAUAUAGGUGGUCGGGCAGAUUUUGGUUACCCAAGCAACUCACCUGUUAUGAUUCCUAAACAACCAAGAUGUUGGAAGGCUGGGGGCUCUCGAGGGAAAUGGCUAUGGAAAAUACAAACAGUUUUCCAGCCAUGCAGACAUACUAUGGGUGAAACUUGCCUCUGGCAUGACCUGCUUUUAGACUUCCAGAAGUAUGUGAACAUCGCUGACCCAGCAGCCAGCAUGGAGAUGGAGGUGCCCUUGGUGGGCAUGUGUCACGGCGAUGCUUCAGCAGCUCAUGUGUGAUCCUGUGUCGCUGCUGAGUCCCAGCAAGCCUUGUUGUACAGCCCUAUGAACCAGCACGACCUUCAUCCUGACCUCCUCUGCUCUACAUAACACUGACCCGUCAGAGCAGUUUAGCAUCAAACGAAUAAACCAGACCUGAGUUACAAGGACUACCUCGCCUUUACAUUUCAUCAGUUGCAGCUGAAACAGAGUUAGAGCCCCAGGCAGCCCACAGUGGCUCUCCAGGAGCCACACAGCAUUUCAUCAGUCCCAGCAGUGUCUCACAGCAAUAUUCUCCUGGCUAGAUCUGCUGCUCCUUCUCCCAGCCAGUGGCUGGGCACUGCGAUUCAGGGCAGCUUCCUCAGGGAAUUCAUUAAAAAUCCCAAAACACACAAACAGAUUUUGAUUUCUCUUAAAUAAAUGUUUUUUCCAGUUUAUUUUCUACCAUAAGCUGAACACUCUGGACAAAUUCAGUAAUAACACAAUGUAAGAUCAUGUAAUAAGAAGGGGAAGAAAUUAGAAAACAAGCAUCACUGGUAAAAUAACUAAAGAAU